This 2009-nucleotide ribosomal RNA is filed under the name Clostridioides difficile. RNAcentral's name for it is "partial 23S ribosomal RNA". It matches the Rfam family "Bacterial large subunit ribosomal RNA", at positions 69 to 2101 of the family's 2925-position model. The record is from RNAcentral. Lineage: Bacteria; Bacillati; Bacillota; Clostridia; Peptostreptococcales; Peptostreptococcaceae.
CGAUAAGCUUCGGGGAGUUGCACGUAAACUUUGAUCCGAAGAUUUCCGAAUGAGGAAACUCACUUAGAGUAAUGUCUAAGUAUCAUUAAGUGAAUACAUAGCUUAAUGAGGGGAACUCAGGGAACUGAAACAUCUAAGUACCUGAAGGAAGAGAAAGAAAUUCGAUUCCGUAAGUAGCGGCGAGCGAACGCGGAUUAGCCCAAACCAAUAAAGUUUUCUUUAUUGGGGUUGCGGACAUAUCAUAACGAAGAGGUAUCGUAAUUGAAGAGGUUUGGAAAGACCCACCACAGAAGGUAAUAGUCCUGUAUGUUAAACGAGAAGACUUCAGAUAUGAUCCAGAGUACCACGGGACACGUGAAACCCUGUGGGAAGCAGGAGGGACCACCCUCCAAGGCUAAAUACUACCUAGUGACCGAUAGCGUAUAGUACCGUGAGGGAAAGGUGAAAAGAACCCCGGGAGGGGAGUGAAAUAGAACCUGAAACCCUGCACUUACAAGCUGUGGAAGCACAUUUCUUGUGUGACCGCGUACUUUUUGUAGAACGGGCCAACGAGUUACGUUAAGUAGCAAGGUUAAGCACUUAAGGUGUGGAGCCGUAGCGAAAGCGAGUUUUAACUGAGCGUUCAGUUACUUGACGUAGACCCGAAACCGGGCGACCUACCCAUGAGCAGGAUGAAGCGAAAGUAAAAUUUCGUGGAGGUCCGAACCCACGAGCGUUGAAAAGCUCGGGGAUGACUUGUGGGUAGCGGUGAAAUUCCAAUCGAGCCCGGAGAUAGCUGGUUCUCCCCGAAAUAGCUUUAGGGCUAGCCUCAAGGUGAGAGAUACGGAGGUAGAGCACUGAAUGUCCUAGGGGGUAUUGCACCUACCGAAGACUAUCAAACUCCGAAUGCCGUCAUCUUAUACUUGGGAGUCAGACUGUGGGUGAUAAGAUUCAUAGUCGAAAGGGCAACAGCCCAGAUCGUCAGCUAAGGUCCCUAAAUGUAAGUUAAGUGGUAAAGGAUGUGGGAUUGCACAGACAACCAGGAUGUUGGCUUAGAAGCAGCCACUCAUUCAAAGAGUGCGUAAUAGCUCACUGGUCGAGUGAUCCUGCGCCGAAGAUUUCCGGGGCUAAAACUUACUACCGAAGCUACGGCAUCAGUAAUGAUGGGUAGGGGAGCUUCCCAUACGGGUUGAAGCAUGACCGUAAGGACAUGUGGACAGUAUGGGAGUGAGAAUGUUGGCAUGAGUAGCGAGAUGUGGGUGAGAAUCCCACAGGCCGUAAACCCAAGGUUUCCAGGGGAAGGUUCGUCCGCCCUGGGUUAGUCGGGACCUAAGCUGAGGCCGAAAGGCGUAGGUGAUGGACAACAGGUUGAUAUUCCUGUACUACCGAUAACCGUUUGAGAGAAGGGAUGACACAGUAGGAUAAGCUAAGCACACUGUUGGUUAUGUGUGCCCAAGCAUUGAGGCAGUCAAAGUAGGCAAAUCCGCUUUGAUAAUGCUGGGAUGUGAUGGGGAGCGAAAUUUAGUAGCGAAGUAGCUGAUUUCACACUGUCAAGAAAAGUCUCUAUCGAGGUUAAAGGUACCCGUACCGCAAACCGACACAGGUGGGUGAGGAGAGUAUCCUAAGGCCAGCGAGAGAACUGUUGUUAAGGAACUCGGCAAAAUGACCCCGUAACUUAGGGAUAAGGGGUGCCACCAUCAGGUGGCCGCAGAGAAUAGGCCCAAGCGACUGUUUACCAAAAACAUAGGUUUCUGCUAAGUCGCAAGACGAUGUAUAGGAGCUGACGCCUGCCCGGUGCUGGAAGGUUAAGGGGAUCUGUUAGAGCAAUCGAAGCAGUGAACUUAAGCCCCAGUAAACGGCGGCCGUAACUAUAACGGUCCUAAGGUAGCGAAAUUCCUUGUCGGGUAAGUUCCGACCCGCACGAAAGGCGUAACGAUUUGGGCACUGUCUCAACAACAGACUCGGUGAAAUUGUAAUUCCGGUGAAGAUGCCGGAUACCUGCGACAGGACGGAAAGACCCCAUGGAGCUU